CCCCACGACCAGACAAAAUUCGCCGACUCACGGACGCAAGGUCCGCCGCCUCUCCUUCUCCGGCGACGAACGCCGCCGGUCACUCUACCCCUCCGACUCAAAGACCCCGCCCAGACAAACAUCUCGCGCCGCCUUCCUCUCAAAAUCGGCGGCCGCAGCAGCCGACAAGGCCUACCGCCGCCGCCUGACGUCCCUCGAAACAGACCAGCGAACAGCAGCAGUUAGUUACAGCCAUCGCCUCAUCUCCCUCUGUACCCCCGGCGGCCGCAUCAACGACAGCCACCAACUGCCGUCGUCGCACUUCCCUCAUUUCCAUCAACCUCCUUUCUCCUCCGACCCAGCCCUCAGCAAAACCCAGCCCAAUCCACUUCUCUCUCUCAGUCAGCCACCACCCACAUACUCCAUCUCUCUGCUCAAUUCCGGUCGACAGCAAUGGCUCUUUGCAGCCAGCGUCGCCGCCCGGACUUUACCCGACUCGACUCACACACACACCGAAGUAACAACCCGGACGCAGCCAGUUCAAAACAAGAAAUAAAAAUCGAAGCUUCAAACUCUACUUCCCCUUUUUUUUUCUUUAUUAACACGCUUCAUGUAAUGUAUAUAUAUAUACGCAACUUUUAUGCAUAUGUAUAUUAGUGAGUGACAUUCUAUUCAAUUGCUUGAUAUACCAGAUGAGUUAAAGGUGUAACCUCUAAUAGAAUCGGUUGGGUUUGUGCAGUUGGAAACUGGAAUGGUUUGGCUGCUUAAGAAACUUGGGUCAGGCUGCGUUGUUGUCAUCUGAACUUGGUUGAAGUUUGGUGUUUGAUUUGCUACUGUAAAAUUGGACCUCACUGAAUCGUUUUUUUGCACUUGAGUCUUUUCUCUUCUUUUUUUUUUGUGAGAAGGAGAUCUGUUGAAUGGUGAGGAUGCCAAACUGAGAGGGUUGUGCUUGGAUUAAGCAGAGGAGUAGAGAGCCUAAGGCAUGGCUUAAAGCUGAUUUUGAGGUUGCUUGCUUGCAGGGACAUGAGUGAUGGUGUAGGGUUGCGGGUAGGAAAAAUGGAGUAUGGGUGAGUUGAUGUUUUGAUUGGACAAAUAAAAUCCCUCUGCUUGAAUUAUCGGAACUGUAAUAUUUCCUCAGGUUCGUUAAAUAAAU
This 1132-nucleotide long non-coding RNA is filed under the name Salvia miltiorrhiza (redroot sage). RNAcentral's name for it is "long non-coding RNA (SMIL_LNC002920)". The record is from RNAcentral. Lineage: Eukaryota; Viridiplantae; Streptophyta; Magnoliopsida; Lamiales; Lamiaceae.